This 854-nucleotide long non-coding RNA is filed under the name Vigna radiata. RNAcentral's name for it is "long non-coding RNA (VRAD_LNC015908)". Lineage: Eukaryota; Viridiplantae; Streptophyta; Magnoliopsida; Fabales; Fabaceae. The record is from RNAcentral.
UUUCAUCUUAUCCACUCUCUCUUAUUUACUCCUCUUGAAUUAUUAGCUUGAUUAAUUAAUUGUCAUGCAACUUUCUUAGCCUACCCUUAACCUGAUCCCUCGGUGAAAAGAGCCUAUUACUAAUUACUGGCUUGCUAUCCCUAGCCUCCCCUAGCAAUUAAUAAAGCAUUAAAGAACAAAAGUCAAAAAUAAUUUAUCGUCCUAUCCUUAUCCCUAGGUGGUAUUGCUUAAUCAAGGAAUUACUCACCAGUUCAUGACAUUAUUGUACGUCCCCGUAUCAAUAAAGAGAAACAUCAGUUAUCGAAUGAGUUAAACGAUAAAAGCAUUAAGCACAGAUGAGAACCCAACAAUUAACAAUCAAAGCAUAUGGAAACCAUAUAAAUAAACAAGAGUUUCAAUAAAAGAGAGUAUCAAAAGAUUACAUUGUUUCCCCCAACAACAAUAGGGUUUAGUUCACCAUUGACAUGAUGAAUCUAGAUGAAAAAUGGAUGAAGAAUGGAAAAGCAAACCCUAGAAAAGAUGAAAAGGAGCCUAAGCAUCCAAGAGAUCCUCUCCAUAGAGUGAAAUUAGGUCUGGCUGCCCCCUUCUUUCAAAAGAAUGCAUCUAAACUCGCAAUAGGGCUAUUUAUAAGUUAGGAGCGCAACAGAAAACAGGCCCAAGCCCAGCAGACAACCGCCCGGCGGAACAAGUGUGGUGCCCAACGGUUUCCCACAAAUUGCACUACCGCCCGACAGUUUACCUCAAAUCGCAAAUCUGCCCAGCGCCAACGCCAGGUGCCUAUUCCUCGCCCUAGACCGCCCGACGGUGGAAUUUACUGCCGGGCGGUGCGUCGAAUCUUCAAUUCUUCAAUUUUC